CCGCCCAAGAAGCGAAAGUGACGGUAGGCGCAGAAGAAGCACCGGCUAACUACGUGCCAGCAGCCGCGGUAAUACGUAGGGUGCGAGCGUUGUCCGGAAUUAUUGGGCGUAAAGAGCUCGUAGGCGGUUUGUCGCGUCGGCUGUGAAAACCUGGGGCUUAACCCCGGGCGUGGAGUCGAUACGGGCAGACUUGAGUUCGGCAGGGGAGACUGGAAUUCCUGGUGUAGCGGUGAAAUGCGCAGAUAUCAGGAGGAACACCGGUGGCGAAGGCGGGUCUCUGGGCCGAUACUGACGCUGAGGAGCGAAAGCGUGGGGAGCGAACAGGAUUAGAUACCCUGGUAGUCCACGCCGUAAACGGUGGGCGCUAGGUGUGGGGGAUUUCCACGUCCUCCGUGCCGUAGCUAACGCAUUAAGCGCCCCGCCUGGGGAGUACGGCCGCAAGGCUAAAACUCAAAGGAAUUGACGGGGGCCCGCACAAGCGGCGGAGCAUGUGGAUUAAUUGGU
Molecule: ribosomal RNA, 504 nt
Filed under: Actinoalloteichus hoggarensis
Lineage: Bacteria; Bacillati; Actinomycetota; Actinomycetes; Pseudonocardiales; Pseudonocardiaceae
Description: bacterial SSU rRNA
Rfam family: Bacterial small subunit ribosomal RNA
Source: RNAcentral